GGAAGUUUGGCAGAGUGGUCGAUUGCACUGGUCUUGAAAACCAGAGAUCCGAGAGGAUCCCAGGGUUCGAAUCCCUGAGCUUCCGCCA
This 88-nucleotide transfer RNA is filed under the name Candidatus Kinetoplastidibacterium crithidiae. Its description in RNAcentral is "Candidatus Kinetoplastibacterium crithidii tRNA-Ser". It matches the Rfam family "tRNA". From Rfam's summary of the family: Transfer RNA (tRNA) molecules are approximately 80 nucleotides in length. Their secondary structure includes four short double-helical elements and three loops (D, anti-codon, and T loops). The record is from RNAcentral. Lineage: Bacteria; Pseudomonadati; Pseudomonadota; Betaproteobacteria. RNAcentral also lists the same sequence under 3 other names.